RNAcentral lists this ribosomal RNA (496 nucleotides) under uncultured bacterium. RNAcentral describes it as "partial 16S ribosomal RNA". It matches the Rfam family "Bacterial small subunit ribosomal RNA", at positions 30 to 523 of the family's 1533-position model. The record is from RNAcentral.
AUUGAACGCUGGCGGAAUGCUUUACACAUGCAAGUCGAACGGUAGAGGGGGCAACGCCUCGAGAGUGGCGAACGGGUGAGUAAUAUAUCGGAACGUGCCCAGUCGUGGGGGAUAACGUACCGAAAGUUACGCUAAUACCGCAUACGCUCUAAGGAUGAAAGCGGGGGUUCGAAAGUCUCCGCGGGAUUGGAGCGGCCGAUAGCAGUUUAGGUAGUUCGGGGGGUAAAUGCCCACCAAGCCAACGAUCUGUAGCUGGUCUGGGAGGACCACAAGCCACACUGGAACUGAGACACGGCCCAGACUCCUACGGGAGGCAGCAGUGGGGAAUUUUGGACAAGGGACGCAAGUCUGAUCCAGCCAUUCCGCGUGCAGGAUGAAGGCCCUCGGGUUGUACACUGCUUUUGUACGGAACGAAAAGGUCUCUCUUAAUACGGGGGACUCAUGACGGUACCGUAAGAAUAAGCACCGGCUAACUACGUGCCAGCAGCCGCCGUAA